GUAUUCUCUCUCAACAUCUAGCUGUUGCCUUGUUAUAGAUACCAUCUCCUCCAGAUCUCCCAUUCCUUUCUCCAGCAUCCUUACUUGAUGUUGAAUCCUUAUGAUUUCCUCAUUCAAAAAUACAUUAGUGUUUUGUGAGUUUGGAUCAUAAGUGUUUCUCCAAGUCUUUUGGAAGGAGCUUGCAGUGAAUGGUUGAAUGUGAGCUAUGAUUGGAUGUGGGUAGAGUGGAAUUCCAAAGAACCCUGGACUAAAGAGUCUUGAGAGCAUCCUUGGGUAGUAGCGAGCUCCAGUGUUCUUGGUUGAUG
RNAcentral lists this long non-coding RNA (305 nucleotides) under Zostera marina. RNAcentral's name for it is "long non-coding RNA (ZMAR_LNC006030)". The record is from RNAcentral. Lineage: Eukaryota; Viridiplantae; Streptophyta; Magnoliopsida; Alismatales; Zosteraceae.